CCUGGAAACAGAUGCUAAUACCGGAUAACAACAGAUGAUGCCUAUCAACUGUUUAAAAGAUGGUUCUGCUAUCACUCUUGGAUGGACCUGCGGUGCAUUAGCUAGUUGGUAGGGUAACGGCCUACCAAGGCGAUGAUGCAUAGCCGAGUUGAGAGACUGAUCGGCCACAUUGGGACUGAGACACGGCCCAGACUCCUACGGGAGGCAGCAGUC
This 213-nucleotide ribosomal RNA is filed under the name uncultured Lactobacillus sp. Its description in RNAcentral is "partial 16S ribosomal RNA". It matches the Rfam family "Bacterial small subunit ribosomal RNA", at positions 149 to 355 of the family's 1533-position model. The record is from RNAcentral. Lineage: Bacteria; Bacillati; Bacillota; Bacilli; Lactobacillales; Lactobacillaceae.